UACGUAGGGUGCGAGCGUUGUCCGGAAUUACUGGGCGUAAAGAGCUCGUAGGUGGUUUGUCGCGUUGUCCGUGAAAACUCACAACUCAAUUGUGGGCGUGCGGGCGAUACGGGCAGACUGGAGUACUGCAGGGGAGACUGGAAUUCCUGGUGUAGCGGUGGAAUGCGCAGAUAUCAGGAGGAACACCAGCGGCGAAGGCGGCGCUCUGGGCCGGUACUGACACUGAGGAGCGAAAGCGUGGGUAGCAAACAGG
RNAcentral lists this ribosomal RNA (253 nucleotides) under uncultured bacterium. RNAcentral's name for it is "partial 16S ribosomal RNA". It matches the Rfam family "Bacterial small subunit ribosomal RNA", at positions 524 to 776 of the family's 1533-position model. The record is from RNAcentral.